GUCCUUUUGAUUUUUAUAUAAGGUCUGACCUGCCCUAUGAAUAUUUAAAUGGCCGCGGUAUACUAACCGUGCAAAGGUAGCAUAGUCAUUUGUCUCUUAAUUGGAGGCUUGAAUGAAGGGUUGGACGAGAUAUAAGCUUUCUUUGUUAUAUUUUAUUGAAUUUGACUUUUGAGUUAAAAGGCUUAAUUUUUUUUAUAGGACGAGAAGACCCUAUAGAAUUUUAUAUAUUUGUAUAAUCGAUUUAUUUAUUUAUUAUUUAAUUUUUUGUUUAAAUAUAUUUUGUUGGGGCGAUGGGAAGAUUUUAAUAACUCUUUUUUUUUCUAAUCAUUGAUUUAUGUUUUAUUCUGAUCCUUUUUUAGAGAUUAUAAGAUUAAAUUACCUUAGGGAUAACAGCGUAAUUCUUUUGGAGAGUUCUUAUCGAUAAAAGAGUUUGCGA
Molecule: ribosomal RNA, 436 nt
Filed under: Appasus japonicus
Lineage: Eukaryota; Metazoa; Arthropoda; Insecta; Hemiptera; Belostomatidae
Description: partial 16S ribosomal RNA
Rfam family: Bacterial large subunit ribosomal RNA
Source: RNAcentral